GACAGAGGGUGCAAACGUUGUUCGGAAUUACUGGGCGUAAAGCGUGCGCAGGCGGUUUUGUAAGUCAGAUGUGAAUCCCCGGGCUUAACCUGGGAACUGCGUUUGAAACUACAAGGCUAGAGUGUGGCAGAGGGGGGUGGAAUUCCACGUGUAGCAGUGAAAUGCGUAGAGAUGUGGAGGAACACCGAUGGCGAAGGCAGCCCCCUGGGUUAACACUGACGCUCAGGCACGAAAGCGUGGGGAGCAAACAGG
This 252-nucleotide ribosomal RNA is filed under the name uncultured bacterium. RNAcentral describes it as "partial 16S ribosomal RNA". It matches the Rfam family "Bacterial small subunit ribosomal RNA", at positions 524 to 776 of the family's 1533-position model. The record is from RNAcentral.